CCUACGGGGUGCAGCAGUGAGGAAUAUUGGUCAAUGGGCGAGAGCCUGAACCAGCCAAGUCGCGUGAGGGAGUACUGCCCUAUGGGUUGUAAACCUCUUUUGUCGGGGAGCAAAAGCCGGACGUGUCCGGCUGUGAGAGUACCCGAAGAAAAAGCAUCGGCUAACCCCGUGCCAGCAGCCGCGGUAAAACGGAGGAUGCGAGCGUUAUCCGGAUUUAUUGGGUUUAAAGGGUGCGCAGGCGGAUUUUUAAGUCAGCGGUAAAAUCGUGGGGCUCAACCCCAUCCAGCCGUUGAAACUGGGGAUCUAGAGUGUGCGAGAGGUAUGCGGAAUGCGUGGUGUAGCGGUGAAAUGCAUAGAUAUCACGCAGAACCCCGAUUGCGAAGGCAGCAUACCGGUGCACAACUGACGCUCAGGCACGAAAGCGUGGGUAUCGAACAGGAUUAGAUACCCUUGUAGUC
Molecule: ribosomal RNA, 458 nt
Filed under: uncultured bacterium
Lineage: Bacteria
Description: partial 16S ribosomal RNA
Rfam family: Bacterial small subunit ribosomal RNA
Source: RNAcentral